RNAcentral lists this ribosomal RNA (496 nucleotides) under uncultured bacterium. RNAcentral describes it as "partial 16S ribosomal RNA". It matches the Rfam family "Bacterial small subunit ribosomal RNA", at positions 28 to 506 of the family's 1533-position model. The record is from RNAcentral.
GAUGAACGCUGGCGGCGUGCCUAAUACAUGCAAGUCGAGCGAACGGACGAGAAGCUUGCUUCUCUGAUGUUAGCGGCGGACGGGUGAGUAACACGUGGAUAACCUACCUAUAAGACUGGGAUAACUUCGGGAAACCGGAGCUAAUACCGGAUAAUAUUUUGAACCGCAUGGUUCAAAAGUAAAAGACGGUCUUGCUGUCACUUAUAGAUGGAUCCGCGCUGCAUUAGCUAGUUGGUAAGGUAACGGCUUACCAAGGCAACGAUGCAUAGCCGACCUGAGAGGGUGAUCGGCCACACUGGAACUGAGACACGGUCCAGACUCCUACGGGAGGCAGCAGGAGGGAAUCUUCCGCAAUGGGCGAAAGCCUGACGGAGCAACGCCGCGUGAGUGAUGAAGGUCUUCGGAUCGUAAAACGCUGUUAUUAGGGAAGAACAUAUGUGUAAGUAACUGUGCACAUCUUGACGGUACCGAAUCAGAAAGCCACGGCUAACUACGU